RNAcentral lists this transfer RNA (88 nucleotides) under Chloroflexota bacterium. Its description in RNAcentral is "Chloroflexi bacterium tRNA-Leu". It matches the Rfam family "tRNA". From Rfam's summary of the family: Transfer RNA (tRNA) molecules are approximately 80 nucleotides in length. Their secondary structure includes four short double-helical elements and three loops (D, anti-codon, and T loops). The record is from RNAcentral. Lineage: Bacteria; Bacillati; Chloroflexota.
GCCGAAGUGGCGGAAUUGGUAGACGCGCUGGUCUCAAAAACCAGUGAGGUAACUCCUCGUGUCGGUUCGAUCCCGACCUUCGGCACCA